CUCUUUAAAUUUAUAAUGACUAUUCUACCCUUAUAUCUAUUUGGUGAACUCUUCUUCUUUUCAGAUCUCACCAUCACGAUUUAUUUUUCUUCUUCUCACAUAUCACCGUCGUCAUUCUCUCCGUCGUAGAAAUCGGAACUGCCGUCGCCGUUUCUUUUCUUCUUUUUCUUAGAUCUCAAUGUCACUGUGAUUCGUCAAUCUCGUCUUUACUGAAAUCGGAUCUCAACGUCGUUGCAAUUCGUCGAUCUCAUUGUUAUUGAAAUCGGGCAACUCGUCAUAGCUAUAAUUGGGAAACGGGCAUGUUUAGACCGAGAAGUUAUCUGGCUGCAAAAGCUCUUCUCUUCUCCAAAGAGGCUGUUCAAUGCUCUUAGGAGACUUGGAGGAAUUAAAUUGUUUGUUUUGUGUUGAUGUGUGGAAUUGACGAAGGUGAGGAUCCAAGAGCUGCAGGCAUGAUAGAACUUAAAGAGGAACUAGAGUUCAUGAUAAUACUCACACCUAUAUUUGUAAAAGUAGGAACAAGUCUUUGUGUGUGUGCAUGUAUUCAUUGAUCUUAAAAUAUUAACUAAUGGAACGUAACUACAUAUGAGAGAGAACAUGCCUUCUAAAUGUUUUACA
This is a long non-coding RNA of Camelina sativa (false flax), 615 nucleotides long. RefSeq lists it as uncharacterized. The record is from RefSeq and is a predicted model, not a curated record. NCBI's taxonomy places the organism in Eukaryota, Viridiplantae, Streptophyta, Magnoliopsida, Brassicales, Brassicaceae.